Molecule: ribosomal RNA, 468 nt
Filed under: uncultured bacterium
Lineage: Bacteria
Description: partial 16S ribosomal RNA
Rfam family: Bacterial small subunit ribosomal RNA
Source: RNAcentral
GACGAACGCUGGCGGCGUGCUUAACACAUGCAAGUCGAACGGCAAGGCCCUGCUUUCGUGGGGUUCUCGAGUGGCAAACGCGUGCGUGACACGUGUGUAUCCUGCCCUUCUUUUUGGUAUGACUUCAGGAAGCUGGGGCUACUCCAGUAUCGCAGACCAUGCUGCAUGGUGAGGGUUGGAUCUUUUCGGCGGUUGUGGAUGGACGAGCGGCUGACCAGCUUGUUGGUGGGGUAGUGGCAUACCAAGGCAUUGACGGGUAGGCGGCCUGAGAGCGUGGCCGGCGACAUUGGGACUGAGAGAGGGCGCAGACUCGUAUGGGAGGCAGCAGGGGGGAACAUUGCACAAUGGGCGCAAGUCUGAGGAAGCGACGCCGCGGGCGUGAUGACGGCCUGCGGGGUGUAAACCGCAGUCGCCUGUGACGAAGCGGUAGUGACGGUAAUGGGUGAAGAAGCACCGGCUAACUACGUG